This 30-nucleotide non-coding RNA is filed under the name Mus musculus (house mouse). Lineage: Eukaryota; Metazoa; Chordata; Mammalia; Rodentia; Muridae. The record is from RNAcentral.
UGGGAAGAGGAACGGAAAGCCAUCAAGGUC